RNAcentral lists this unclassified non-coding RNA (365 nucleotides) under soil metagenome. RNAcentral's name for it is "partial contains 5.8S ribosomal RNA, internal transcribed spacer 2, and large subunit ribosomal RNA". The stretch from base 1 to 120 matches the Rfam family "5.8S ribosomal RNA", at positions 35 to 154 of the family's 154-position model. The record is from RNAcentral.
GAUGAAGAACGUAGCGAAAUGCGAUAACUAAUGUGAAUUGCAGAAUUCCGUGAAUCAUCGAGUCUUUGAACGCACAUUGCGCCCCCUGGUAUUCCGGGGGGCAUGCCUGUCCGAGCGUCAUUACAACCCUCAAGCCCGGCUUGUGUAAUGGGCGGCCGUCUCUCCCCCCGGGGGGAGACGCCCCCGAAACUCAGUGGGGAUGUCGCGAUACCGAAGCCUCAGCUAAUGGGUAAACCACAGCUGCAAUGGCCGCGGCCGGCGUCCGCCUUCCACGGUCCGUCCGCCUAGCGCGGGCGGCCUUCUCAAGGUUGACCUCGGAUCAGGUAGGGAUACCCGCUGAACUUAAGCAUAUCAAAAGCGGAGGA